This 1452-nucleotide ribosomal RNA is filed under the name uncultured organism. RNAcentral's name for it is "SSU rRNA". It matches the Rfam family "Bacterial small subunit ribosomal RNA". The record is from RNAcentral.
AGCUACAGGCUUAACACAUGCAAGUCGAGGGGCAGCAUUUUAGUUUGCUUGCAAACUAAAGAUGGCGACCGGCGCACGGGUGAGUAACACGUAUCCAACCUGCCGAUAACUCGGGGAUAGCCUUUCGAAAGAAAGAUUAAUAUCCGAUAGUAUAUUAAAACCGCAUGGUUUUACUAUUAAAGAAUUUCGGUUAUCGAUGGGGAUGCGUUCCAUUAGUUUGUUGGCGGGGUAACGGCCCACCGAGACUACGAUGGAUAGGGGUUCUGAGAGGAAGGUCCCCCACAUUGGAACUGAGACACGGUCCAAACUCCUACGGGAGGCAGCAGUGAGGAAUAUUGGUCAAUGGACGAGAGUCUGAACCAGCCAAGUAGCGUGAAGGAUGACUGCCCUAUGGGUUGUAAACUUCUUUUAUAUGGGAAUAAAGUAUUCCACGUGUGGGAUUUUGUAUGUACCAUAUGAAUAAGGAUCGGCUAACUCCGUGCCAGCAGCCGCGGUAAUACGGAGGAUCCGAGCGUUAUCCGGAUUUAUUGGGUUUAAAGGGAGCGUAGGUGGAUUGUUAAGUCAGUUGUGAAAGUUUGCGGCUCAACCGUAAAAUUGCAGUUGAAACUGGCAGUCUUGAGUACAGUAGAGGUGGGCGGAAUUCGUGGUGUAGCGGUGAAAUGCUUAGAUAUCACGAAGAACUCCGAUUGCGAAGGCAGCUCACUAGACUGCAACUGACACUGAUGCUCGAAAGUGUGGGUAUCAAACAGGAUUAGAUACCCUGGUAGUCCACACAGUAAACGAUGAAUACUCGCUGUUUGCGAUAUACAGUAAGCGGCCAAGCGAAAGCAUUAAGUAUUCCACCUGGGGAGUACGCCGGCAACGGUGAAACUCAAAGGAAUUGACGGGGGCCCGCACAAGCGGAGGAACAUGUGGUUUAAUUCGAUGAUACGCGAGGAACCUUACCCGGGCUUAAAUUGCAUUUGAAUAAUCUGGAAACAGGUUAGCCGCAAGGCAAAUGUGAAGGUGCUGCAUGGUUGUCGUCAGCUCGUGCCGUGAGGUGUCGGCUUAAGUGCCAUAACGAGCGCAACCCUUAUCUUUAGUUACUAACAGGUCAUGCUGAGGACUCUAGAGAGACUGCCGUCGUAAGAUGUGAGGAAGGUGGGGAUGACGUCAAAUCAGCACGGCCCUUACGUCCGGGGCUACACACGUGUUACAAUGGGGGGUACAGAAGGCAGCUACCUGGCGACAGGAUGCUAAUCCCAAAAACCUCUCUCAGUUCGGAUCGAAGUCUGCAACCCGACUUCGUGAAGCUGGAUUCGCUAGUAAUCGCGCAUCAGCCAUGGCGCGGUGAAUACGUUCCCGGGCCUUGUACACACCGCCCGUCAAGCCAUGAAAGCCGGGGGUACCUGAAGUACGUAACCGCAAGGAGCGUCCUAGGGUAAAACUGGUAAUUGGGGCUAAGUCAUAACA